RNAcentral lists this ribosomal RNA (324 nucleotides) under uncultured eukaryote. RNAcentral's name for it is "partial 18S ribosomal RNA". It matches the Rfam family "Eukaryotic small subunit ribosomal RNA", at positions 1470 to 1796 of the family's 1831-position model. The record is from RNAcentral.
CCCUUAGAUGUUCUGGGCUGCACGCGCGCUACACUGAUGCACUCAACGAGUUUACGACCUUGCCCGAUAGGGUUGGGUAAUCUUUUUAAAAUGCAUCGUGAUGGGGAUAGAUUAUUGCAAUUAUUAAUCUUCAACGAGGAAUUCCUAGUAAGCGCGAGUCAUCAGCUCGUGCUGAUUACGUCCCUGCCCUUUGUACACACCGCCCGUCGCUCCUACCGAUUGAGUGCUCAGGUGAAUAAUUCGGACUGCAGCAAUGUUUGGAUCCCGAACGUUGCAGCGGAAAGUUUAGAACCUUAUCACUUAGAGGAAGGAGAAGUCGUAACA